This 21-nucleotide ribosomal RNA is filed under the name Hindakia tetrachotoma. RNAcentral's name for it is "partial 28S ribosomal RNA". The record is from RNAcentral. Lineage: Eukaryota; Viridiplantae; Chlorophyta; Trebouxiophyceae; Chlorellales; Chlorellaceae.
UCGACUGAGGUGAGGCAACAU